Molecule: long non-coding RNA, 545 nt
Filed under: Salvia miltiorrhiza (redroot sage)
Lineage: Eukaryota; Viridiplantae; Streptophyta; Magnoliopsida; Lamiales; Lamiaceae
Description: long non-coding RNA (SMIL_LNC003501)
Source: RNAcentral
CCCACACUUAAAUCCUUGCUUGUCCUCAAGCAACAAUCACAACAUCGAAAGAAAAUCCACAAGCGAUUCUUCUCACCAAGCAAAACACCAACCAAUCCAAGUCUUUCAAGAUAUCAAUGUCUCCAAUCAAGUGUUCAAAGUUAAGGUUUAAGAUGCAACAACAAGAUGAUACCACUCGAUCCGAUCAGACCCAAUUCUCCGCUAGGGGUGAAUUUCCUAAUGCAAUUUCCUUUAUAAUCAUAUCUCCAUCCUUUUUCACAUUUUUUUUUUUCAUUUUUUCGCAUUUCACUUCUUCUUUUUUUUUUUUUUUUUUUUUUUUUGGGGUCUAAGUUGUUUUUCGCUCUUAAUAGAUAAGCCGAAAAUCACGAGAUUGAACUUUUGAAGGUGAUCCAAAAUGUUCUCGUGUGGUUUCUCAUGCUCAUAAUGAAGCCAUCAGGGGAGCAGAGACCCAGAGCUAUCAAAAACUCAACAACCAACCAAACACUUCAACACAGAGAAUGAUAUUAGGAAUUUGCACUGAAAACACUCCCCCUAGCAUCUACCGG